AUGUGCAAAAGGUCAUCUCCUAAAAGCUGCCUGCCAAUGUCCAGUCAACAUAUGCUGCGAAUGUGUGCUCCAGAUGGGGUGGUUCUGGAAGAACUUUCAGUGCAAUGGCAACUCAGAAUGAGGUUACUGGAACUGAUUUGGGAACAGACAAGUCAUGUGGGGUUAUGGAGGGAAAGGUGGGGCAGACAGAUUACACCGAUGAAAUGUGGACCAAAGACCGGGAGGAGAUAA
This 231-nucleotide ribosomal RNA is filed under the name Triticum aestivum (bread wheat). RNAcentral's name for it is "partial small subunit ribosomal RNA". The record is from RNAcentral. Lineage: Eukaryota; Viridiplantae; Streptophyta; Magnoliopsida; Poales; Poaceae.